Molecule: long non-coding RNA, 1402 nt
Filed under: Homo sapiens (human)
Lineage: Eukaryota; Metazoa; Chordata; Mammalia; Primates; Hominidae
Description: HSALNT0107926
Source: RNAcentral
UGAAGCUGAGGUGUCCAACUCCUGCACCCAUGUUUAUAACACACUUCUUACUUGCCCCUUGAUUCUGCUCAUCAAGGUUCCUUCCCAUUCAAUAUUCGACUGCAGAUCUUCAUUGGGAGCUUAUCUCAACCUGUGCCCAUCACCUGAGUUAGCUGGCAGAGUUCUGUGAGGUCCCCUGUGAGCCUGCAGCUUUCAACUCCUCAUGGGAGGGAGCAUGCAAGUGAACGAGGUGGGAACUGGAAUGCAUGAACUCUGGAAACAACCACCCACUUCGGAGCUGACAGGAGCAAACUUCAAUCACUCAGACUUCCUGCGCUUCAUCCAUCAUGAGAGGGAGCACACAGUGUCCCCAUCUGUCCCAUGCAGAUCCUACAUUACAGCUGCAGCCUCAUGGCUACCUCUUAAUUAACUGCCUCUGUGACUAAUAUUCAGAAAAACAAUCAGUUGUCAGCAGACCUGCAUGAUAAGCCAUACUAGAAAAGCCCUUCCCACUGGAAGAGAAUUAUUCCAAGUGAAAAUUCAGAUUUACAGGAAGAAGAAAGGCAAAAAUAAUAAAUACGUGUGUAUAUGUAAAAACUAUUUUUCUCUUUUUUGAUUUAUUUAAAUCAAGAAAUUGAGUUAUUUAAUGAAAAUAUAAUAAAAUAUGCUUUGAGAUUUAUAAUUAACAUCGAUGUACAAGACAGUGAUAGAAUAGAGAUUGAUGGGUAUCAACAGAGGUACUUACUGUUUCUCAUAAGUGAAAUGAUAUGCAUAUGAUAGGUAAAGUGAUAUAAUAUUAAUUCAAAUUAGAUUGGGAAAAGUUCAUUUAUAUAGUGAUUCCUAGAAAACCAACUGAUGGUGGGAGGCAAAGAAAUAUAGUAGUAUGUCCAUACAAAGGAUAAAAAAAUACUGAAUUAGUUGAAUUACUGAUUUUAAAAACUUAGUCAUUCAAAAUAAUCAGGAAAAGAGAACUUAAAAUAAGUGAGGUAUGUACCAAAUACCAUUAUCCUCAUUUUACAGAUAAGGAUACUGAUACCAAGUGAAGUUAAAAAAUUUGCCCAAGAUUAAAUAAUUAUUUAGUGUAAAUUCUGUGAUUUAGAGACCUGGCUUAUCCCAAUUAUGCUUUAUCCUUAAACAAUACUGAAUAAACAUUUUAAUUACAAUUGUAACUGAAGAAAAAUACAGGCUUUGACUGGAUAUGAUUUGAGUAUAAAUAUUUCCGCUGAAAAUAAAACUUUUAUAUAAAAUGUGAAAUAAAGUUGAUUUAGGUAAACUUUUAUUCUACUUUCCUUUUAUUGCUGCCUUUUCUUUCUGCUUCUUAAUUUUAAUUCAAAAAGCAGUCAUUUAAACAGUAUAAUAAAGUCACAUAACUAUAUGCCAAUAGAAGAGAAAAAAAUAACAAAAAUUUUAAAAUCAUGCAAAC